CGGCGGACGGGUGAGUAACGCGUGGGUAACCUGCCUCAUACAGGGGGAUAACAGUUAGAAAUGACUGCUAAUACCGCAUAAGACCACAGCACCGCAUGGUGCGGGGGUAAAAACUCCGGUGGUAUGAGAUGGACCCGCGUCUGAUUAGGUAGUUGGUGGGGUAACGGCCACCAAGCCGACGAUCAGUAGCCGACCUGAGAGGGUGACCGGCCACAUUGGGACUGAGACACGGCCCAA
RNAcentral lists this ribosomal RNA (237 nucleotides) under uncultured bacterium. RNAcentral's name for it is "partial 16S ribosomal RNA". It matches the Rfam family "Bacterial small subunit ribosomal RNA", at positions 96 to 334 of the family's 1533-position model. The record is from RNAcentral.